Molecule: ribosomal RNA, 978 nt
Filed under: Triticum aestivum (bread wheat)
Lineage: Eukaryota; Viridiplantae; Streptophyta; Magnoliopsida; Poales; Poaceae
Description: partial small subunit ribosomal RNA
Source: RNAcentral
AUGUUGGCGGAUCCCUAUGUUUUCAAGAUGAAUGGGGUGGUUUAUCAUCAUAUUGGUCCUCUUAUUCCUUCAGGGAAUAGUGCGCCAAAGUAUGCUCAGCUUUAUAUGGUGGACUCUGCUGAUGAAGUGCAGUUGAGAAUUAGUGCCUUUGAUCGUCAAGGAGCUGAAACGCUUGAUCCUGAUCCAGGCAUUGUGGCCUCUCUUAUUGCUAUGUUAAAUAGGCAUCAUAAAUUGGUGCAUAAGUUUAGAAUGGCUAGGGCAAAUCUGUGUUCUCCUUCUGCUCCUAGGGUGGCUAUACAUUUUAUGGGUGAUGAAGGCGGUGGUCAUGGUGACCGUUUUUCUGGUCCUGCUUCAUGUGAGCAUAUCUCUUCGUUGAAUUCGAGUCUUAUGCCCCUACAGUAUCCUCUAUUAUUUCCCUUUGGUGACAAAGGAUUUCAUCUUGGUAUCAAGUAUAUUGCUACUGGUGGGCCUCAUGGAGAUGGGCAUUGUAAUAUUGGUGGGCGUUUACGUGGUCGUUCUUCAGGAGGGCAAGUAUCUAUGAUGGAAUACUAUAAUUAUUACUUCCACUAUAGACGGGGGGAGCCAAAUCCUUAUACCUGUUGUGGUCGUUUGAGCCAGCAGAUAGGUGUGAAUUCUUAUUCUUGUGUGGAAGCUAAUCGUUUGGACUUUCACUUUCAGCAACAAGAUGAUUUACGUUCUGAGACUUAUCAAGGUAUUACUGAUGUUGUCGGACAGGGUGGAUCAACUGGUGAGAAUUUGGGGAUUCAGUUUAUAUUACAUUCGAGUUUUACGGGUGGUCCUUGGUACAUGAUGCUUAAUUACCAUGAUGGUAUGGCUAUUUGUCGCGAAUAUGGUGCUCCCGAUCUUUUUGUCACUUUUACAUGCAAUCCAAAGUGGCAAGAAGUGAUGCUCUCGCAUAUGAAGGUGGUCAGACUCACGUUGAUCGUCCUGACGUUGUUACACGUGCUUUCAAUAUAA